This 468-nucleotide ribosomal RNA is filed under the name uncultured bacterium. Its description in RNAcentral is "partial 16S ribosomal RNA". It matches the Rfam family "Bacterial small subunit ribosomal RNA", at positions 28 to 507 of the family's 1533-position model. The record is from RNAcentral.
GACGAACGCUGGCGGCGUGCUUAACACAUGCAAGUCGAACGGAAAGGCCCUGCUUUUGUGGGGUGCUCGAGUGGCGAACGGGUGAGUAACACGUGAGUAACCUGCCCUUGACUUUGGGAUAACUUCAGGAAACUGGGGCUAAUACCGGAUAGGAGCUCCUGCUGCAUGGUGGGGGUUGGAAAGUUUCGGCGGUUGGGGAUGGACUCGCGGCUUAUCAGCUUGUUGGUGGGGUAGUGGCUUACCAAGGCUUUGACGGGUAGCCGGCCUGAGAGGGUGACCGGCCAAAAUGGGACUGGGAAAACGGCCAAAAUUCUAAGGGAGGGAGAAGGGGGGAAUAUUGCACAAUGGGCGGAAGCCUGAUGCAGCAACGCCGCGUGCGGGAUGACGGCCUUCGGGUUGUAAACCGCUUUCGCCUGUGACGAAGCGUGAGUGACGGUAAUGGGUAAAGAAGCACCGGCUAACUACGUG